AGGGUGCUGACAGAGGCGGCCCUGUGCUCUCUGGGUGCCUGCUUUGUCCAACAGGAAAAUAAUGAGAGCCACAAAGGGGAUUUUAAAUUUUCUAGUAGCCACAUUUUAAAAAGUAAAAAAAAAAAAAAAAAAUUAAGCUUAAUAGUGUAUUUUAACCCAGUAUAUCUAAAAUAUGAUCAUUUCAACAUGCAAUCAAUAGAAAAUUUAUAUUAAAUUUUCAUUGGAAAAAGCUGUUCGAUCUUUUAGAUUUUAUAAAAUUAACAGCUGAAGAAAUAGAUUCACAAGUUGUUCCAAGCAUGCCAAAAAUUGCUUUCCUAUAAUUGAACCAAUGAUCAGCUUCUAAAAAUUAAUUAAAAUUAAAGUAUUUCAUUUCUUAGGUGCACUAGCCCACAUUUCAAGGGCUCCACGGCCACAUGUGGCCGGUGACCCCCACGCGGAUGGCACAGAAUCAUAACGUUGCUACUUCAAGUGGGCUCCACACAUCAGCGUCACCCAGGAGUCUAUUGGAAAUGCAGAAUCUCACGUGUCGCCCCAGACCUACGGAAUCAGAAUCUGUGGUUUCAUGAGAUUCCCAGGUGAUCCAAUUUUACAAUAUAGAUUGGGAAGCACUUUUUUUUAAAACACACCGGGAAAAUUGGUAUUCUUCCAUUCACUAUCCAGGCGGGUGUACUAAGGCUCAGAGAGGUUGUAUAGUGUAUCUAAAAUCAUAGAGCUAAUAAGUACAGGAGCUAAAAUUCAAACUCAGAUCUUGCCCAUCUUAAAGCUCACACUUCAUCACUCAAAGCAUGGAACAUGUUGCUAAUGAUUUGAAAGCUGGUUUUAAAGGGUGCCCAGAGAGCAUUUUAAAAAGCCCUAAAUACCACGUUUGAGGAUUUGGCUCUUUUCUGCCCGCUUUUCAGUUUUCUAAUAAGGUCAAAGAUAGAGUCUGCGGUGCCAUCAUGUGUUUUACCUAAACCUUGCUGGAAGGGGGCCACAGCUUCAGAACAUUCAGUGAAGUGUCUAGCUAGAUCUUCAUAGCUCUGUCUCCUUUCAUCGUAUUCAUUCGUACUUUUACCAUCUAUGUGUGUCGUAGGAUGCUGCCUUUCUCUUUACAGCUAUGAUGCACAGAGGACAUUCAUGUAAGUAAGAGAGUGGUUAUAAAUGCAUGGUAGAUGGGGCACAGCUAUGACCACAUAGGGAUGACUGAGGGUGGGAAACGCUGGCCUGGAUGAAGAUGCUUCGCAGGAGGCAGCGCCCCCAGCAGGGCAAGCCCUAGAGGAGACUGAGAAGCACAAGAAUACAGAACACUGUUUGUUUUUGUUGCAGGUGCCCCAGUCAAAACCCUUAAUUGUUACAGUUUUGUCUUUGCAUGUGUGAUGGAUGUAGUUGCAGUUGGUCAGUUGGUUGGUCGGUUCAUUGGUUGCCCAGCAUUUCUUCCCUCUUAGCACAGAAAACAAAAGGUCCACCUUUUGACCUCCUCAGUCCCAACUGCAAAGCUGCGGGAUCCUCUAAUUGGAUGUUUCUGUUCUUGGAUGAAUAUAGAGCACAUGCCAAGAGAAGCAAGAAAAGCUUAGGGUUCAUAUGGCUGUCGUGGUGGUGGUGGCACAGUGACUUCACUCACGUUCCUCAAUGGUGGUGAUUCCGUGGCAGGAUCCACCAGGGGCAGCAGGAAUACCCCGACCAUGCUUUGGCCCGAUUCCAGGGCCUAGGUUCCCUUAGCCAUGUUGUGUUUCCAUGUGGAUCGCUCUUCAGGUUUCCUGUGGCAUCUGUGGGUCAUGCAGGAAAUUUCCGGAACUGCUCUUCCCUUUAUGGUAACCGGAGUUGGUUUCUGUCUUUUGCAAACAAAACCCCUGACUGUUAGAAUAGCAUUAUUUGAUUGUCUGUAAAACCCAUUAGAUGAUCUAGUCCCAUGAGAGUAGCGUCUGUAUCUGCUUGUUCGCAUCGCAUAAUCCCCCAGGCACAGAGCUGGUGCUCAGUAAUUUCGUGAGGAAUGAAGGAAUGAAUGUUAAGCAUAUAGAAGAUGCCAGGGAACAAUGCUGAACGUCAGGCUUUUACUUCCUCAAAAAGCAUUAAAUGCAUUCUAUGACUUAAGAGCAUCUCUGAAAAUUGGAGUUCCCACUGUGGCUCAGGGGGUCCAGAACCUGACACAGUGUCCGUGAGAGUGUGGGUUUGAUCCCUGGCCUCACUCAGUGUGUUAAGGAUCUGGCAUUGCAGUGAGCUGUGGCGUAGACUGGCAGCUGCACCUCCAAUUCGACCCCUAGCCUGAGCACUUCCAUAUGCUGCAGGUGCAGCCCUGAAAAGAAAAAAAAAAUAGCAUCUAUGAAAAUGAAACUUGAAAGGCAAAUUAAUAAUAAUAAUACCUAAAUUGAAAAAACUCUUUAUUUCACAGACUGAUUCACCCAAGAGUUCUUCUUUGAUUUUUCCAGUGUUAUGUUUUGUUUUCUGACUAUAAGCUAUUAGAGGAGCUUAGAGCAUAAAGGUAAGAGUGACUUUUUGUGCAGUGACUAUGCAGUGCUUUCAAAAUUAAAGGAAAUAAAGUAUUUGAAAAACAGCAUUUGGAGCCAUUGGCAACCCAAAGUGGUUCAACCAUGAAGAUCACACGUCUGAAAUAGAAACGUCAGUCAUAGAAUUUUCAGAAAUUAGUACAUGGCCUGCUAAAUUGCAAAGCUGUGCCAAGCAGCUUACCAACAUUUUUAAGCUUCCCAACAACCAAGGAGUUACCUACUUUUGCGACUCUUUUCUAGAUGAGAAACCUAAGACAGCAAAGAAACGAAUUUGCCUGAGGUCAGAGCCAAUAAAAAUCUCACCGCUAAGGAGCUAGGAUUUAAACUUCAGCCCGACUCCAAAGCAGGAGAUUGUAAGCACCAUCCAUACUACCCAAGUCACCUGAGAGACUCGGGGCAUAUACUUGUAAUCACGACCCUGACGCUUCUGCUGACACUUGAUCGUUGGCAGCCUUGGUCCCCCCCAACUUUUUUUUUUUUUUUUUUUUUUUUUGGCUCCAAUCUGAGCAAGCCCCAAUGGAAAAUGGUCCCUUCCCUCUCUUGGUUCCAGCAAGGACGUUCACUUCACUCCAACGCUACCCCCUAAUCACACACACAAAGCCGCCCACCCCUUCCUUCUCUCCAGCCAUAUGCGGCCCAGCCUGGGGGACUGCUCUGUUCUCCCCGGAAAGCCUCUGAAUAACAGAGCUCUUCAUGGUCUCUUGGUGUUCAUGUAGCAUCAUCUGUCUUAACAUCCAAACAAAUUUUGGGUCGGGGGUGUUGGUCCUACCCACCUGGGACCUCGAGACAGUAUUCCAUGUCAGCAUUGUGCCUCGGCAUUUGAAGCCAGAAACCUUCGCUAAAGAUUCUUGUAAGAAAAAAGACUCUACAAAACGAUUGUUGCAUUGACU
RNAcentral lists this long non-coding RNA (3373 nucleotides) under Sus scrofa (pig). RNAcentral's name for it is "lncRNA (ENSSSCG00000061798.1)". Lineage: Eukaryota; Metazoa; Chordata; Mammalia; Artiodactyla; Suidae. The record is from RNAcentral.